Molecule: ribosomal RNA, 381 nt
Filed under: Shigella flexneri
Lineage: Bacteria; Pseudomonadati; Pseudomonadota; Gammaproteobacteria; Enterobacterales; Enterobacteriaceae
Description: bacterial SSU rRNA
Rfam family: Bacterial small subunit ribosomal RNA
Source: RNAcentral
UUAAAUUGAAGAGUUUGAUCAUGGCUCAGAUUGAACGCUGGCGGCAGGCCUAACACAUGCAAGUCGAACGGUAACAGGAAGCGCUUGCUGCUUCGCUGACGAGUGGCGGACGGGUGAGUAAUGUCUGGGAAACUGCCUGAUGGAGGGGGAUAACUACUGGAAACGGUAGCUAAUACCGCAUAACGUCGCAAGACCAAAGAGGGGGACCUUCGGGCCUCUUGCCAUCGGAUGUGCCCAGAUGGGAUUAGCUUGUUGGUGGGGUAACGGCUCACCAAGGCGACGAUCCCUAGCUGGUCUGAGAGGAUGACCAGCCACACUGGAACUGAGACACGGUCCAGACUCCUACGGGAGGCAGCAGUGGGGAAUAUUGCACAAUGGGCG